GUAGGUUAUUGCCAGGGUUUUUAUUUUUAUACUUUAAACUUUGAUUUUAUUUUUAUGUUUUUUAAAUAUUGGUGUUUUUGAAUGUGUUGUUUAAAUAAUAUAAAAAAUAAAAUAUAUAUUGACAUGUAUUAAACAAAGAUAUAUAUUAUUUUAUGUUGUAUAAAUAAAUUGGCAAAAUAGAGAUGGAAGAUAAAAAUAUGGUCAAAGUAAUAAGAGUCUAUGGUGAAUGCCUAGGA
This 236-nucleotide unclassified non-coding RNA is filed under the name Borreliella burgdorferi (Lyme disease spirochete). Its description in RNAcentral is "5S-23S ribosomal RNA intergenic spacer". Lineage: Bacteria; Pseudomonadati; Spirochaetota; Spirochaetia; Spirochaetales; Borreliaceae. The record is from RNAcentral.